RNAcentral lists this ribosomal RNA (253 nucleotides) under uncultured bacterium. Its description in RNAcentral is "partial 16S ribosomal RNA". It matches the Rfam family "Bacterial small subunit ribosomal RNA", at positions 524 to 776 of the family's 1533-position model. The record is from RNAcentral.
UACGUAGGGGGCAAGCGUUAUCCGGAUUUACUGGGUGUAAAGGGAGCGUAGACGGUGAUGCAAGUCUGAAGUGAAAGGCGGGGGCCCAACCCCCGGACUGCUUUGGAAACUGUAUAGCUGGAGUGCAGGAGAGGUAAGUGGAAUUCCUAGUGUAGCGGUGAAAUGCGUAGAUAUUAGGAGGAACACCAGUGGCGAAGGCGGCUUACUGGACUGUAACUGACGUUGAGGCUCGAAAGCGUGGGGAGCAAACAGG